CGCAGUCCUUCCAGCCUGCUGCUCCUGUGAAUCACAGGUCGGCUGGAGCGGUUUUUUCUUUUUUCUUUCUUUCUUUUUUUUUUUUUUUUUCCGGGGAGUCAGCCUCGAGGCUCUGCUCUUCUACCUCAGUCUGCCCUGCCCUGGAAUGGGGAAAAUGCGGACACGCCACUCAGUCUGGACGUGAACAGUGCCCCAGAACUCAGAGAGUUUUCCAGACGGGUGGAGAUUGCGUUCCCUGCCCCCCAGAGGUCCCAUCGCUUCCCUGCUGGGGAGACGUGUGAAGUGCCUUAGCCGUUUCCACGGCCAGCCCCUCCCUCAUAAGCCCAGAUCACCCCUGUGGGCUCGUAGUCCAUAGCUGCCUUUGAGGUGGUGUAGAGCUUGCUAACCAGGACGGGCCAAUAGGCAGAGCUCAUUUUAAUUUCUGUCUGCAAUCGUGCAAAAACGCCUCUCAUGGAAGAGGCAGAGCGCCAGGAGUCAGCAAAACACACUAAAGAUUGGGCAGUCACAGGGCAGAACGUGAGUAAAAGCACAGGAACGGCAAAGCUUUCAGGAACGUUCGAGGCUGACGCAACCGGCGCGGGAAGGUGGUGUGUGGUGGAGACAGCAUCUUGUUCUGUUGCUCAGUCUUGAGUGGACUGAACACAACUCACUGAAGACUUGAGUUCCCAGGCCCCAGUGAUCCUCCUGCCUCAGCCUCCCAAGUAGCUGGACCACAGGGCAGCUAUGAAGUCUGAAGAGGUGGUAUAAAUGAGAGACAUAAUAAAUUAAAGCACUAUUCAAAUGUAAGUAAUCAUUACUGCUAUCAUUUCCUAUGUAUAUGUUGUCUGGCCAACCUGUUCAAAGAUUCUUGGGCUUUUCCUUUCAUUCUACUGCCACACCCCCUUCCUCUUAAUAGACACACAGCAUAUCCUCAGUAAAUAUUUGUGAACUGAUUGAUGCACUCAAACAAUCUUGCCUUGUGGUCAAAAGUAAAAAGAGAAGUAUUUUACAUUUUGGUAGUCAUUCCCUAGCCACUUUCUGCUGUCAAAUUGUUCAGCCUAAAAAACUAAUAAUAAACAAACAACUUGUUAAGCUUGUAGUCAGUGAGGGUUCAUAGCCUUUUUCAAUUGAACUGUUAAGCUAAGUCUUCCUCAUCCUAUGUUCGUGAAAUUAAUAUUUCGAAUAUAAGCAUAGGACUUUAAAAAUAUCCCUGGUAAAUUUCAUUUAUUUGUUAAAAAAACUCUAACUCUGGAACCUAUUUAGAGCUUUAUGAAUUCCAAUUCAGUCUUCCAAGAUAUUCAAUAUCCCUUCUAGCUUUCUUUAGCUGAAAAUAGCAUAAGUAUGCCUUCUUUAUCACAGAUAAGAGGGCUGUCUAGGUCAGAGACAAGGACAAAGUUUUGUUUUGAACUAAUCUGAAAUGAGACAUUCUUCUCCCUUGAGUACUAUGCAGUAAAUGGAUGAGCACACCCGGUUUACCAAGGUCAUUCCAGUUUUGUUCCCCAAACAAUUCCUUAUUUAUGUCGUGGACCAGGCUUAGAAUCAGAGCCAGUAGAAUAGCCAGUGAAGAAAAAGGAAAAAUAUUGUAGAACGUUAGGUAAAGAUAAUAUUCUGUACAAAAAAAUAACCAUAGCCAACAGUACCUCUGCCUUUUAUCCUCUGUGAAGGCAAGAGAGUGAAGUGAAAGAGUAAAAAAAAUACUUUGUUACCCAAGUGUUAAAAGACUUGGCAAGUAUGAGUGCUGCCAAAGACAGAUGGACCCCAAGGCCAUUCUAGCAACAAAUGGAGAAAAACCAAGAGAAAGGAGUAGAAGGUGUGUUUAGAAUCAUGGGUUUUGUAGCCGGGUGCAGUGGCAGGUGCCUGUAAUCCCAGCUACUUGGGAGGCUGAGGUAGGGGAAUUGCUUGAAACCGGGAGGUGGAGGUUGCAGUGAGCUGAGAUUGCACCACUGCACUCUAGCCUGGGCGACAGAGCAAGACACCAUCUCAAAAAAAAAAAGAAUCAUGGGUUUUGGAAUCAUGAUAUUCAGUGGAAUGUAAGGAAGAAGAAACCCUUUAGAAUUGAGUCAGCCUGGUUCUAAUAUUUGUAAUUUCAGUAGAAAAAUCUUGAACUGGCCUAGAGAGGAGUCAUUUAGUGUUAAUGGACUGCUGACUCCAGCUUCUAACCAGAGCCUGACAGGGCAGAUCGAGAUCCAGUCAGUGCCUCCCUUCCACUCUUGUCAGCACCCUCGUCUGAGUGUGGGGGAAGAUUGGUGAGAUAUCACGUAAGACAAUGUCAUAGAAAUCGACUGGGGGUAGAGGUUUCCCAACUUGGAAAAGUGUCCUACAGUCUCUUUGUAUUUUGUUCUUCUUUUUUUCUUUUUAUUUUAUUCUUAUUUUGUAUUUAAGUUAUACUUGUACAUGAUUUAAAGAAUUAAAUGGCCUUUAAGGUUUGUCCCCAUCCCCCCAACUCCCCACCCUGCCAUGGGGCUGUUUUGAAAUAGCAGUGCUCCAGGCUCCUCUCCUCACCAUUUUCUUCUCAAAGGUAAUCACUUUCAACUCCUUUUAAUGGAAACUUCUGGCAUUUACCUCUCUGUCUCCCAAAGACUUACCUCUAAAGGUUUAUAUGACUGUGCGUUAAUUUAAGCAUUUUUACAUUAUUUAGGAACUUCCCCCCAGAGAAGAAGAGACUUGCAUAGUUUUCAUGACCGCCAGUGCCACCACUACCACAUCCUCACUCAUUCACAUGGCAUCUGCAUGCUUCACUUUCUCUGUCCUCUCAAUACACUUGUGUUAUAAUUUUGGCUAAUUAGUCAGUGUGGGCCCAGGUGCGGUGGCUCACACCUGUAAUCCCAGCACUUUGGGAGGCCGAGGUGGGUGGAUCAUGAGGUCAGGAAUCAACACCAGCCUGGCUAAGAUGGGGAAACCCUGUCUCUACCAAAAAUACAAAAGUGAGUUGCCCUGGUGGUGAGCACCUGUAAUCCCAGCUACUCGGGAGGCUGAGGAUGAGAAUCACUUGAACCAGGGAGGUGGAGGUUGCAGUGAGCCAAGGUCACACUAUUGCCCUCCAGCUAGGGCAACAGAGCGAGACUGUCUCAAAAACAAAGUCAAUGUUUAUACUGCUAUGACUAUGCAAAUACUGUUCACAAAUAAGCCAAGUAAUGUUUUUCUCUUACACAACUUUGUUUUCUUUGGACCUAAUAGUUGUAUUUUUCUAUGUACUUAUUAUUAAUUUAACUCAACCUCCCCUGCCCCCCUCCAGUUGUCUACAUCUCUUCUCAAUAUAUUUGGUCACAUUAGAUAUUUUUUCAAUUUCCUUUUCCUGAAGAAAUCUCUCCUGGAGCCCCCUCACAUGCUCUAAUCUGGACUGGUUACUCUCUCAACCUGUUGCAUACAUCAUUUUUGUCCUGGGAAUUCUCUUCAGCAUCAUUCUCUCCUGUGUUAGAUUGACUAUUCUGGAUUCUUUGUGUUCCUCUUUCUUGGUUUACUCCCUUGCUUUGGAGAAACCCAUUUUUUUUGAGACAGAGUCUCACUAUAUUGCCAGGCUGGAGUGUGGUGGCAUGAUCUCAGCUCACUUCAACCUCUGCCUCCCAGGUUCAAGUGAUUCUUGUGUCUCAGCCUCCUGAGUAGUUGGGACUACAGGCAUGUGCCACAGCACUUGUCUAAUUUUUGUAUUUUUAGUAGAGACGGGUUUCACCAUGUUGGCCAGGCUGGUCUCAAGCUCCUGGCCUGAAGUGAUCAGCCUGCCUCAGCCUCCCAAAGUGCUGGGAUUACAGGUAUGAGCCCCCAUGCCCAGCUGAGAAACUCAUUCUUUAUUAGUCUUGUGGAAAAGGCAUAUUUUAAAAAUAUUCUCUUUGUUCUUGGUUUCCCAAAAUUUUGUGUGAUGUGCCUCUGUAUGGAUCCAUUUCCAUCCAUUAGCAAAGACAUUUGUUAAUCCAUUUCAAUCCAGAAAUGUUUUUCCUUCAAUUCUGAGGAAUUUUUUUUUUAUUAAUUGAUGAUUUCAUCUUCCUCCUCCAUUUUCUUUGUUUUCUCUCUUGAAUCUUCAAAAUUCUCUAUUUAAAAAUUCCUAUAUUAUUUUCCAUGUUUUUUUUUCUUUUGCUUGGCUUUCUAGAUUCCCUGAACUUUAUCUUACAAACCUUCUAUCAGUUUUUUUCAGAUGGAGUUUCGAUCUUAUUGCCCAGGCUGGAGUGCACUGGCUCGAUCUCAGCUCACUGCAACCUCCGACUCCCAGGUUCAAGUGAUUCUCCUGCUUCAGCCUCCUGAGUAGCUGGGAUUACAGACACCCACCACCAUGCCUGGCUAAGUUUUGUAUUUUUGUAGAGAUGGGGUUUCACCAUGUUGGCCAGGCUGGUCUCGAACUCCUGAGUUCAGGUGAUCCACCCACCUCAUCCUCCCAAAGUGCUGGGAUUAUAGGUGUGAGCCAUCUUGCCUGACCCUGUUGAGUUUUUAAGACCUGUUAUCAUACUUUAAUUUCCAAAGAUUCUUCUAGAAUGUUUCUUUUUACUGUUUCUUGUCUGCUUCCAUGGAAUAUUUUCUGGGUUUUAUGCUUUAUUUUGUUUUGUGUUUUUAGAGGCAGGGUCUUCUUUGUUGCCCAGACUGAUCUUGAAUUCCUAACUUCAAGCAAUCCUCUAGCCUCAGCCUCCCAAGGUGCUGAGAUUACAGGUGUGAGCCAAUACACCCAGCCUGCAAUAUUUUCUUAUUCUUUUAAGAAUAUUAAUGAUGGUAUGAUCCACUUAAUAUUAUAUAUUCACCCACAUUGAUAUGUGUAUUUCUAGUUAUUCAUCCAUUCUUCUGUUCAUGGACAUUCAAUUUAUUUCCAGCUUUUUACUGUAAAUAUGAUGUAUCUGUCUCCUUAGUAUACAUGUGUAAGAGUCUCCUGAGAAUUGAAAUUUCUGGGUCACAGGAUAUGAGCAUUAGACUUUAUUAGAUACUGAUAAAUAGUUCUUCAAAUGGUUGUGCCAACUUAACAGUCUCAUCAGCAGUGUAUGAGUGUCUACUCCUCCACUUCUUUACCAGCACUUGAUAUUAUCUGGCCGAUUUUCCCACCUACUUUUGUAGCUUUAAUUCCCACUGCCUUCCUGCAUAAAUCUUUGGUUCCAGCCAUAUUGUAGUACUUGCUGCCCCUUGAACGCAUUCUAUAAUUGAUUUCCCUUCUCCCUCAAGUAUUUGUUGAGUAACUCUACGUGUCAGAAGCCCUGCUAAGUGCUAGGAAAACAAAGAUGAAAGUACUCAGUUCCUGCCCUAAAGGAGAUUAUAAUUUACUGGAGUGACAGACAGGCAAACGACAGUUAUAUAUAGUAAGUGUUACAAUGAAGGUACUUAACAAUUACAGAAAGCAAGAAGGCAGAAGGAGUCUAUCUCAAUUUGGGACAGCUAAGGAAAAUGGGGAGAGGGUCAGAGAAGACUUUACAGAGGAGGAAGUUUGGCCAUGUAUUCCCCCACACAGUUACCUCUGCCUGGAUGUUCCUUCCCUCUCCUCUUGUCCUUUUUGUGCCAGCUCAAAGGCUAGCUGCCCACAUACUGUCCCAAUCACUCCGGGAAAGUACUUUGCACUUUCCUUAUAUCCUGUCUUGUAUAAUAUCCUGGAUAUUUAUAUAUGCACAUCUUACUUCCUUUACUAAAUUAUAACCUUAAUGGAAGAUGUUGCACUCUUAUAUGCCUGUAUAUAUCCCAUAAAGGCCAGAAGUGGUGGCUCACACCUAUCUAUAAUCCCAGCACUUUGGGAGACCAAGGUGGGAGGAUCGUUUGAGUCCAGAGGUCAGAGAUCAGCCUGGGAAACAUAGUGAGAUACCCAUCUCGACAAAAAAUUUAAAAAUUAGCCAGAUAUGGUGGUGUACGCCUGUAGUCCUAGCUAUUCAGGAGGUUGAGGCAGGAGGAUCACUUGAGUCCAGGGGUUCAAGUAUGCAGUAAGCUAUGACCACGGUGCUGCACUCCAGCCUGCGCAACAGAGCAAGACUCUGUCUCUAAAAUAAAAUAAAACAAAACAAAGUAAAAUAGGCCAGGUGCACUGGCUCAUGCCUUUCAUUCCAGCACUUUGGGAGGCCAAGGCAAGCAGACCACUUGAGGUCAGGAGUUUGAGAUCAGCCUGGCCAACAUGGUGAAACUCAUCUCUACUCAAAACACAAAAAUUGGCUGGAUGUGGUGCUUACCUGUAAUCCCAGCUACUUGGGAGGCUGAAGCGGGAGAAUCACUUGAACUUGGGAGGCAGAGGUUGCAGUGAGCUGAGGUCACACCACUGCACUCCAGCCGGGGCAACAGCGUGAGACUCUGUCUCAAAAAAAUAAAAAUAAAAACAAUAUCUCCCAUACAGCCUAGAAUACUGAUGGCACACAGUGUAUAUUCAUUCAGCAAUUGCUUGUAGAAUGAAAGAUGAAAACAAACAAGGGAGGGCUACAUCAGGUUCCCAUUCUCCCAGAUGCUUGACCCUUCAAACAUUUUAAGCAAUUGCUAAUUUGGACUGCUAUUUACUAUUGCCAAAGUAACAGGAAGACUUUAAGAAAACAACAACUCUUUUAAAAGUCAACUACCCUAUUCUUUUGGUACAAAAAACAUGUUAUGAAACAUUAUAAAAUCUAGCCAAUAGGCUGGGAGUGGUGGCUCAUGCCUAUGAGCACUUUGGGAGGCCAAGGUGGGUAGAUCAUGAGGUCAGGAGUUCAAGACCAGCCUGGCCAAGAUGGUGAAAUCCGUCUUUACUAAACCUACAAAAAUUAGCUGGGAGCAGUGGCAGGUGCCUGUAAUCCCAGCUAUUUGGGAGGCUGAGGCAGGAGAAUUGCUUGAACCUGGGUGGCAGAGGUCUCAGGGAGCUGACAUCACACCACUGCCCUCCAGCCUGAGCCAAAGAGCGAGACGCCGUCUCAAAAAAAAAAAAAAAAAAAAAAAAAUUUAGUCAGUUGUGAGGGCUUUUAUAUUCUGUUUCCUGCGUCUUUAACAGACUCUACAUUUCCAUUUUAAAUAAUCUUGCCAACAUUAAUUGGCACUCUAUCAGCAGAAUGUAAAAUAUUGCAUAUUUAUCUGGUAUAUGGAGAAGUUAGGUAGGAAGCAGUUGAGGAAUUGGAAGCUGGUGGUUUAUAUACUCCUAUGAGUCUUCCCCUUUCUAAUGGCGGAGGUUAAUAAAAUGCUAUCUGUGUCGAGCUUUACUUUUUUAGGCAGGGUCUUACUCUGCUUACUCUGUCACCUGAGCUAGAGUACAUGACCGUGGCUUACUGCAGUCUUGACCUCAUGGGUUCAAGCAGUCCUCUCCAUCCUCUUGGCUCAGCUUCCCGAGUAGCUGGGCUGCAUGCCAGUUUGCCUGGCUAAUUUAAAAAAAAAAAUUUUUUUUUGUAAAGACGAGAUUUCCCUAUGUUGCCCAGACUAGUCUCAAACUCCUGGGCUCUAGCAAUCCUCAUGCCUUGGCCUCACAAACGGCUGGGAUUACAAGUGCGAGCCACUGUGCCCAGCCUGCUUUGAGCUUUGUAACAUAUAUGGUGUCUUAAUUUUUAAAAAAGAUUUUGGUAAGUGAAUUCAAGUUACUUAUCAUCACAGUUACAGGAAAAGUGUCAUAGGCUUUACUUAGACUUUGAGAGUUCUGUUGAGAGCACAGAAGCUGAUCGAGGGAGUUAGCAGUUGAAGACAACAGAGACAGUUUAGUUAAUAUGAGUGCCUGCUAUGUGUCAGACAAUUUUCCAAACGGAGCUUUUACCCCGUGCCGAAAUAGGCAGUUGGAUUCUGCUCCAGGCCUGAAGGAAAUAGGUUUUAUUCAUAGACUUUUAUACAUAUCUACUUAAUAACAUUAUCUAUAACAGAAAACUAUGUAAACUUAGGUAAAAGUAUUUUCUUUUCUU
Molecule: long non-coding RNA, 7772 nt
Organism: Callithrix jacchus (white-tufted-ear marmoset)
Lineage: Eukaryota; Metazoa; Chordata; Mammalia; Primates; Cebidae
Source: RefSeq, a predicted model, not a curated record